RNAcentral lists this ribosomal RNA (1342 nucleotides) under uncultured bacterium. RNAcentral describes it as "16S ribosomal RNA". It matches the Rfam family "Bacterial small subunit ribosomal RNA", at positions 28 to 1378 of the family's 1533-position model. The record is from RNAcentral.
GACGAACGCUGGCGGCGUGCUUAACACAUGCAAGUCGAACGGAAAGGCCCUGCUUUUGUGGGGUGCUCGAGUGGCGAACGGGUGAGUAACACGUGAGUAACCUGCCCUUGACUUUGGGAUAACUUCAGGAAACUGGGGCUAAUACCGGAUAGGAGCUCCUGCUGCAUGGUGGGGGUUGGAAAGUUUCGGCGGUUGGGGAUGGACUCGCGGCUUAUCAGCUUGUUGGUGGGGUAGUGGCUUACCAAGGCUUUGACGGGUAGCCGGCCUGAGAGGGUGACCGGCCACAUUGGGACUGAGAUACGGCCCAGACUCCUACGGGAGGCAGCAGUGGGGAAUAUUGCACAAUGGGCGGAAGCCUGAUGCAGCAACGCCGCGUGCGGGAUGACGGCCUUCGGGUUGUAAACCGCUUUCGCCUGUGACGAAGCGUGAGUGACGGUAAUGGGUAAAGAAGCACCGGCUAACUACGUGCCAGCAGCCGCGGUGAUACGUAGGGUGCGAGCGUUGUCCGGAUUUAUUGGGCGUAAAGGGCUCGUAGGUGGUUGAUCGCGUCGGAAGUGUAAUCUUGGGGCUUAACCCUGAGCGUGCUUUCGAUACGGGUUGACUUGAGGAAGGUAGGGGAGAAUGGAAUUCCUGGUGGAGCGGUGGAAUGCGCAGAUAUCAGGAGGAACACCAGUGGCGAAGGCGGUUCUCUGGGCCUUUCCUGACGCUGAGGAGCGAAAGCGUGGGGAGCGAACAGGCUUAGAUACCCUGGUAGUCCACGCUGUAAACGGUGGGUACUAGGUGUGGGGUCCAUUCCACGGGUUCCGUGCCGUAGCUAACGCUUUAAGUACCCCGCCUGGGGAGUACGGCCGCAAGGCUAAAACUCAAAGGAAUCGACGGGGCCCCGCACAAGCGGCGGAGCAUGCGGAUUAAUUCGAUGCAACGCGUAGAACCUUACCUGGGUUUGACAUGGAUCGGGAGUGCUCAGAGAUGGGUGUGCCUCUUUUGGGGUCGGUUCACAGGUGGUGCAUGGCUGUCGUCAGCUCGUGUCGUGAGAUGUUGGGUUAAGUCCCGCAACGAGCGCAACCCUUGUUCACUGUUGCCAGCACGUUAUGGUGGGGACUCAGUGGAGACCGCCGGGUCAACUCGGAGGAAGGUGGGGAUGACGUCAAGUCAUCAUGCCCCUUAUGUCCAGGGCUUCACGCAUGCUACAAUGGCUGGUACAGAGAGUGGCGAGCCUGUGAGGGUGAGCGAAUCUCGGAAAGCCGGUCUCAGUUCGGAUUGGGGUCUGCAACUCGACCUCAUGAAGUCGGAGUCGCUAGUAAUCGCAGAUCAGCAACGCUGCGGUGAAUACGUUCCCGGG